This 791-nucleotide unclassified non-coding RNA is filed under the name Hevea brasiliensis (rubber tree). The record is from RNAcentral. Lineage: Eukaryota; Viridiplantae; Streptophyta; Magnoliopsida; Malpighiales; Euphorbiaceae.
AAAAGAUAUUCAAACCACAAGACAAGUUUGGGUGAAUCACAAUGAAUUCAUAUCUGCUUCAGUCACACAUAUUCAACAAGAGGACUACUGCAAGUACUCAAAAUACCAAAUUCAAGCUAAACAUCAAAUUAGUUCCUCAUGAUAUAAACUCUCCUCCGCUCUGACUCAAAAUGGUACCAUAAUUACUACUCAAAAACUAGAGAACGCUGCAAUUACAAAGCCAAUGGCUAGAGAUCCAACAGAGAUCGAUAUCCCAUGAGAACUUGAGGCCCCCGGAGACGGUGCUGGUGCUUGCACGUUCAAUCCAGAGUUCGUGCCAGGUGCAGUAGCAAUAGAGGGUGGGGUUACACCAGGUGCUGCAGUAGGAGCCAAAGACAAUCCACAAUUAGAGGCGGAAGGGGCAUGGAGUUUGCAUGCAGCAGGAAGAGUAAGAGCCUUAGUAACAUUCAACACAACACCCAACUGAGCACUACUCUUGAAAGCCUCACAGAGACACUCUGCAUCAGUUUUCAACACAGUUUUCAAUCCAGAGCAACAAGUACCCUCUGGCUUGGUUGCGGUACUGCCGUUUGAAACAUAAGACAAACAGUCAGCCAUGUUCAACACCAAACUGGAGCAGUCGACGGAGGGCGCCGGAGCAGCGGCGUGGUGAUGGGUGGCGGCAUGAGUGGCAGAGAUAAAGAAGAGGGAGAGAAUGCAAAGGAAGAAAGAGAGAUUUGACGCCAUUUUGAGAGAGAUUGAAGGGUAGUAACCAGUGAAGAAGUGGGUUUUCUUGUUGGAGAUAAAUAAAG